Molecule: long non-coding RNA, 847 nt
Filed under: Fukomys damarensis (Damara mole-rat)
Lineage: Eukaryota; Metazoa; Chordata; Mammalia; Rodentia; Bathyergidae
Description: lncRNA (ENSFDAG00000024440.1)
Source: RNAcentral
CCAAAUUCUGAUCCCACCACUGACUAGUUCUGUGACCGUAGAUGAAAGGUUUCUGUUCUUUGGUGUCCUCACAUGUAAAAAAGAUAGCAAGAGAGCUUGCCUCAUAGGGCUGAGGUAAGGAACAGGUGAACACCUAGGUUGUACUCUCUCUCUCUCUCUCUCUCUCUCAGGAUUUAAAGAGUACCUAUAUGCACCACCCCGCUGCAUCUUUAAUCAAAUGCAUCUCAUCAGUAAGAAUGACCCUAUUAUUACUACUUCAAUUCCCCCCAUUUCCUUUCUUUUAAAACUAUAUUUAAAACAGUAUUUCCCAUAAGGCUGAUGUUCCUAUUGUCAGUGCUCAAUUUAUAAGAUGGCUUUUGAAAUUCAAGCCGCGUGUGCAGUAGCAGACCCCUGCCCUAACCUGCUUGUUGAGAAUUCCAAAAGGUGGAAAGAAAGGUGGUGCCCACAAGGCAGCUCAGAGUGGGCACCGGGAAGGACCUGUGGCUCCCUGGGGAACACAUCUGCUUUGUGAACAACAGAAUACACUGCUCAAUGAACAGCAAAACAACAGAGAGAAUCCUGAGGUUUCAGAGGAGGCGUGGCAGGCUAGAGACCCCAUUGUAACUGCUUUCUUUGGGGAAGGACUAGGAUUCUCUUUCAUAUUUUAUAUCAGUGUGAUCAGUAAAAAGGUAAAAACAGUGAGAAAGAAAACUAACCACAGCAAUUACAAACAGCAUGCUCAGGGGCACGUCAGGUCAUUUAUGGCCUUGACUAAGUUACUGAAAUCACUGAGCUGCGUUUUCACACGUCCAGAGGCACACACAUCCCACACACCUGCCUUCUUCAGGAAAACGAGGUUAGCGAAUGC